This 458-nucleotide ribosomal RNA is filed under the name uncultured bacterium. Its description in RNAcentral is "partial 16S ribosomal RNA". It matches the Rfam family "Bacterial small subunit ribosomal RNA", at positions 338 to 795 of the family's 1533-position model. The record is from RNAcentral.
CCUACGGGUGGCAGCAGUGAGGAAUAUUGGUCAAUGGGCGAGAGCCUGAACCAGCCAAGUCGCGUGAGGGAGGACUGCCCUAUGGGUUGUAAACCUCUUUUGUCGGGGAGCAAAAGCCUGAACGGUCCGGCGGUGAGAGUACCCGCAGAAAAAGCAUCGGCUAACUCCGUGCCAGCAGCCGCGGGAAUACGGAGGAUGCGGGCGUUAUCCGGGUUUUUUGGGGUUAAAGGGUGCGCAGGCGGAUUUUUAAGUCAGCGGUCAAAUCGGGGGGUCCAACCCCAGCCAGUGGUUGAAACUGGGGAUCUAGAGUGUGCGAGAGGUAUGCGGAAUGCGUGGUGUAGCGGUGAAAUGCAUAGAUAUCACGCAGAACCCCGAUUGCGAAGGCAGCAUACCGGUGCACAACUGACGCUCAGGCACGAAAGCGUGGGUAUCGAACAGGAUUAGAUACCCUUGUAGUC